AACUUCUCAAGUUGGCC
RNAcentral lists this ribosomal RNA (17 nucleotides) under Scolecobasidium mirabile. RNAcentral describes it as "Ochroconis mirabilis partial 26S ribosomal RNA". The record is from RNAcentral. Lineage: Eukaryota; Fungi; Ascomycota; Dothideomycetes; Venturiales; Sympoventuriaceae.